AGCCACAGGUGCUGCUGCUUUGAAAUGGUUCCCAUCUCAAUUGUACUCAUCACUUCUGGCUGAGAUGAUGAAGUUGGAAAACCAUGCUUGUUUCCUGUGGUCCCAUGAUAGAAACUAGAGAAGUUGUAUGGGGACUGUGAGAGAAGUGCUAUCAUGAAGAAGAACAGCCACAGUGAAAAUCAGAUGGAGACAACCUAUGCAGUGUCAAUUGUAUUAGGGUUCCAAAGAAACCAUCCCAGAACUACUCUGUCAUAUAUUUCAACUUAGGUUGCCAUCACUGUUAUGCUGGUAAUUUCUUCACUUUUCUUCUGUGUUCAUUCAUUCAACAAAUAUUCUAGAAGGCCAUGUGCCGGGCAGUAUUAUGGAUGCCAAAGACACACAGUGAAAAAGAAAUGGUGCCCUGCCUAUGAAGGUGAACCUAUGGGGAGAGAAUUAUGUCAUGAAACAAAUGUGGUAGAAUAUUAAACUGGAAAUUUUCCCUCAGAAAAGAAGAUACAAUAGAC
RNAcentral lists this long non-coding RNA (503 nucleotides) under Heterocephalus glaber (naked mole-rat). RNAcentral describes it as "lncRNA (ENSHGLG00100033448.1)". The record is from RNAcentral. Lineage: Eukaryota; Metazoa; Chordata; Mammalia; Rodentia; Bathyergidae.